GAUGAACGCUAGCGGCAGGCUUAACACAUGCAAGUCGAGGGGUAACAGGGAAGAGCUUGCUUUCCGCUGACGACCGGCGCACGGGUGCGUAACGCGUAUGCAACCUACCUCUUACUGGGGAAUAGCCCGGAGAAAUCCGGAUUAAUGCCCCAUAGCAUUACUUCUUCGCAUGUUGAAGUAAUUAAAGGUUACGGUAAGAGAUGGGCAUGCGUCCCAUUAGCUAGAUGGUAAGGUAACGGCUUACCAUGGCAACGAUGGGUAGGGGGCCUGAGAGGGUGAUCCCCCACACUGGUACUGAGACACGGACCAG
This 310-nucleotide ribosomal RNA is filed under the name uncultured bacterium. RNAcentral describes it as "bacterial SSU rRNA". It matches the Rfam family "Bacterial small subunit ribosomal RNA", at positions 28 to 334 of the family's 1533-position model. The record is from RNAcentral.